Molecule: long non-coding RNA, 343 nt
Organism: Limulus polyphemus (Atlantic horseshoe crab)
Lineage: Eukaryota; Metazoa; Arthropoda; Merostomata; Xiphosura; Limulidae
Exons: 2
Source: RefSeq, a predicted model, not a curated record
UCACACUGAUGUUGGUUCACUGGAAGGAAUUAUUGAUUCUUUGUCGUGUACUGUGGAAGAAUUACCAGAUCUGGCUAAACAGAGAAUUACUACAUUAGAAUCUGACUUGAUGAAUGUUCUUCUUCGUUUAUACCAAUAUACUAUAGAAGAUAAGUGGAUGAUAGUUUCUUUCUUGUUAAAGAUGUAUAAUGAUGUUGAUCUGAAGUUAUCGUAUCUGAAUAUGGCGCCAUCUACUGGUGGAUACAAAGGCACUAAAAUAUUGAAGAACUGAGGUGAAGAUGGGAAAUAUGUUGAAUAGAAGAAAUACUGUUAUGGUUUUUAUUAUUAUAACUUUUAAAAAUAU